This is a long non-coding RNA of Pogonomyrmex barbatus (red harvester ant), 1058 nucleotides long. The record is from RefSeq and is a predicted model, not a curated record. Lineage: Eukaryota; Metazoa; Arthropoda; Insecta; Hymenoptera; Formicidae.
AAUUUCUCUCCUGUAUAUAGCAAUUAUUCACGAUUAUUCUAGCUAUUGAACCAUAUCCUAUAUAGAAUGAGUGUAGUUAUUGUUCUCGAAUCACGUAACUCAAUCUGAAAAGAGUAGUCAUGAUGAAAAAUCCAUCUUUAAUCACUACAAACUUUUAUUUGUUACAAAAAUAGUAGAAAAAUAAGGACAAUCUCAAUUCAUAUGAUCUAAUUUAAUUAAUGAGCUUAUCCCGUUAUUAUCUGCUUAUUCCAGUCAAUUCCAAGUAGGAUAUAAAUUCAAUGCAGUAACAGGAUAUUGUAAAGUACUUUGACCAUAUAAAUAUGGACUGCUAGUAGCUCACUUCACUCGUGAUGCCAAUAUUAAUUUGAACAAUGACGCUAUCAUGUCCCACGAACUAAAAUGCGUGACGUCACGUGAGUUGAAGCGUGAGUGAUUAGUCAGUGCAUGGUUGCGUUUCGUUUCGCGCAUUAUGCGCACGGAUUACAUAGAAAACGUUCCCUUUCACUCAAUUUGUGCAUAAACAGCGCUUAGAAUUCCCAUCACCUGCAGCGCAUAAUGCACGCAUUAGCCUCAAGUUCAAACUAUAGCAACUUAUGCGUUCUUCUUUCUAUGCGAUUGUAUAAUUGUAUGUGGCGGUUGAUGGCAUUGUGAAAAGUGUUGAAUUCUAGUUUUACAUAAAAGUGUCAGUGAAGAUAUGGAAGAGACAUUGUUAGAGUUCCCAGUCCCAUUGAAGAAACGCAGAGCGUCAUCACAUUAUUUCUUACUCAGGAAAUAAUUAAUAAAGUUCAAACAAUCAUUAACAUUUGGUCAAAUAUAUUUAUCAAAAGUUGCUGUAAUCGCUCGUAAACAGAGUAAGCAGAAUAAUUCUACUGACUUCUCAAGUUCUUUAGAAAUUAGUCAGCCUUCAUCAGCAUUGUCGAAGAAAAUGAUUGUUCGAAUACAAAAGGAUUUAUAUGGUGCUGCAGUAUAUUUACUAUUAGAAUUGUAGGGAGAAAGAAUCCGAUUUCAAUUCGGGAUCUAAAAGAAAUGCUACUAUUUGGGCUAAAUUAGCAGAAAAA